UGGGUGACUGGUGUUGUGGAAUCAGAUAGU
RNAcentral lists this non-coding RNA (30 nucleotides) under Rattus norvegicus (Norway rat). The record is from RNAcentral. Lineage: Eukaryota; Metazoa; Chordata; Mammalia; Rodentia; Muridae.